RNAcentral lists this ribosomal RNA (509 nucleotides) under uncultured bacterium. RNAcentral describes it as "partial 16S ribosomal RNA". It matches the Rfam family "Bacterial small subunit ribosomal RNA", at positions 28 to 523 of the family's 1533-position model. The record is from RNAcentral.
GACGAACGCUGGCGGCGUGCUUAACACAUGCAAGUGGUGCGACGAACCAGGCUUCGGCCUGGGGCAGAGCCGCGAACGGGUGAGUAACACGUGGGCAACCUGCCCUGUUGAUCGGGACAACCCGGGGAAACCCGGGCUAAUACCGAAUGUGGUGCCGGCUCCUGAGAGCCGUCACGAAAGGAAACUUCGGCCUCCGCGACAGGAUGGGCCCGCGGCCCAUUAGCUUGUUGGUUGGGUAAUGGCCUACCAAGGCAACGAUGGGUAGCUGGUCUGAGAGGACGAUCAGCCACACUGGGACUGAGACACGGCCCAGACUCCUACGGGAGGUUGCAGUGGGGAAUCUUGCGCAAUGAGCGACAGCUUGACGCAGCAACGCCGCGUGGGGGAAGAAGGCUUUCGGGUCGUAAACCCCUUUCAGUUAGGACGAAGCUUUAUUGGUUAAUAACCAAUUGGAGUGACGGUACUUUCAGAAGAAGCCCCGGCUAACUACGUGCCAGCCGCCGCCGUAA